CGGCUGGCCGCUUAGGUGGCGCAGCUGCUGCAUGGCUGGCAGACAGCGCCGCACAUAGAGGACGUGCGUAAUUGCAUGGCGGCACUUUGAAUAAUCGCAGUGCCAUCAACCAAUGGACCUUCUUGCAUAGCAUAAUGCAAGUGCAGUAGCUUGCAAGGCAGAUAGAGUGUGGAGCUGUGGACACUAAAAAGGAGAGUGCCAAUUAGAGAAAUUGGCACAUUUCAAGAAAGCUUUUAACAAUGUCAACAAGAAUACACUCUUUGAAAUUAUGAAGGUAGCAAGAGUAAAAUAAAGG
Long non-coding RNA from Schistocerca cancellata (South American locust), 295 nucleotides. RefSeq lists it as uncharacterized. The transcript has 3 exons. Lineage: Eukaryota; Metazoa; Arthropoda; Insecta; Orthoptera; Acrididae. The record is from RefSeq and is a predicted model, not a curated record.